RNAcentral lists this long non-coding RNA (648 nucleotides) under Ananas comosus (pineapple). RNAcentral describes it as "long non-coding RNA (ACOM_LNC000864)". Lineage: Eukaryota; Viridiplantae; Streptophyta; Magnoliopsida; Poales; Bromeliaceae. The record is from RNAcentral.
GCCGUUCAUUUUUAAACUACUUGUUUGAUAGCUAAAUGAUAUCGAAAAAUUAUAAAAUUUGAUUUUCAAACACUUUUAAUAGUAUAGAUCAAAUCUAACAGAGCCGAUCUUCGAUUUGGAAGCCGCAUCACCGAAAAUAAUUUAGUAGCACGAAGGCCCUCAUGUCAGCGAUAGUAUAUAUAGUAGGAGCCGGACUAUAUAUAUAUAUAUAGAGAGAGAGAGAGAGAGAGAGAGAGAGAGAGAGAGAGAGAGAGAGAGUAGUAUGCUUCUAAAAGCAUAGAGCUCUCCGUGCUUCAAGUUGUUUUUGAUGUUGUGACUUUCGAAUCGACGAUCGGCUCCGUUAGACUGAUAUAGAAUAUUUGAAGUAUCUAAAAAAUAAAUUUUAUGAUUUUUUUAUAUCAUUUGCUUAGUGAUCAAGGGGUUCAAAAUCAAUAGCUGAAAAUAUAAAUUUUACAAAAUGUGAUGAUAUGAUAUUAAAAUUUUAGAUCAAAGAUAUAUUGAUCUUAUUUUAUAUAGUAUAAAAAAUUUUCAAUCAAAAUUUUACAUGAUUUAGCUAGUAUAAUCUAACGGAUAGAAAUGAUUAAAGGGUAGAUCUAAUGGCCGAAAACUUUAUAGCACCAAGCACUUGAUACUAUCAAUAGUAUAGUA